ACUAUUGACGGAGAGUGACGGAGUUAAUUCUGCUAUGAUAUCACACUUAAGUUGCGAUUUGAAACUGCCACGGAGUGAUGCCAGGGUCGCGGCAAAGCUGUCAUCCACGUAGAGCCGGUCCACAGCGAUGACAGCGCAGGAGCCCUUCUGGAUGAAGCUGCCUCGGAUGGGGAAGAGGACCCUACGUCGUUCCAGGAUCUCUUUUGGGAACUGGGUGAUAACUACAGCCUGACAACAGAGGACGGCAACGUCAUCAGCGAGGAACGGGUGAGCCGCAUUGAGGAGCACGAUGUCUGAGCAGCAUUAAGGAGAGUGAGCACCCAGAAAGCGACGGACCAUCUGACCCUUGCAGGUCACCUCUCAUUGUUGGAACACGCCAAUGAUGAUGAUGUAGAAGAAGAUGACGACGAAGCUGAGGCAGGAACACAAAUACCAUGACAAAGGACUCAACACCAAUACGUUAGCAGCUUCAUCACCACAGGAGCUCAUCUGUAGGAGGUUCAGCCUUAAUGGAGACCCUCCCAUUGGUCUUUUCUCCCAGGAACACUUUAGCUUAAUUCCUUCAUUCAUACUUCACUUCCUGUUUAUUCUUUACCUUCCACUCACCUGCAGAAACAGUCA
Oreochromis aureus is the source of this 621-nucleotide long non-coding RNA. RefSeq lists it as uncharacterized. The record is from RefSeq and is a predicted model, not a curated record. NCBI's taxonomy places the organism in Eukaryota, Metazoa, Chordata, Actinopteri, Cichliformes, Cichlidae. The transcript is spliced from 4 exons.